This 253-nucleotide ribosomal RNA is filed under the name uncultured bacterium. RNAcentral's name for it is "partial 16S ribosomal RNA". It matches the Rfam family "Bacterial small subunit ribosomal RNA", at positions 524 to 776 of the family's 1533-position model. The record is from RNAcentral.
UACGGAGGGUGCAAGCGUUGUUCGGAUUUAUUGGGCGUAAAGCGCGUGUAGGCGGUCUCUUAAGUCUGAUGUGAAAGCCCCGGGCUCAACCCGGGAAGUGCAUUGGAUACUGGGAGACUUGAAUACGGGAGAGGGUAGUGGAAUUCCCAGUGUAGAGGUGAAAUUCGUAGAUAUUGGGAAGAACACCGGUGGCGAAGGCGGCUCACUGGCUCAUUUCUGACGCUCAGGCGCGACAGCGUGGGGAUCAAACAGG